GCUGGCGGCGUGCUUAACACAUGCAAGUCGAACGCGCAGCAUUCUGUAGCAAUACAGGGUGUGGGCGCGUGGCGAACGGGUGCGUAACACGUGGAUAACCUUCCUUGAGGUGGGGAAUAACCCAGUGAAAAUUGGGCUAAUACCGCAUAACACAGCGAUGGCACAUGCUGUUGCUGUCAAAGGCGCAAGUCGCCACAAGAGGGAUCCGCGGCCGAUUAGCUUGUUGGCGAGGUAAUGGCUCACCAAGGCAAUGAUCGGUAGCCGGACUGAGAGGUUGGCCGGCCAUACUGGAACUGAGACACGGUCCAGACUCCUACGGGAGGCAGCAGUGGGGAAUCUUGCACAAUGGACGAAAGUCUGAUGCAGCAACGCCGCGUGGGGGAUGAAGCUUCUCGGAGUGUAAACCCCUUUCGACCCGGAAGAAUGCCCGCAAGGGUAUGACGGUACGGGUAUAAGAAGCCCCGGCUAACUACGUGCCAGCAGCCGCGGUAAUACGUAGGGGGCCAGCGUUGCUCGGAAUUACUGGGCGUAAAGGGUCCGUAGGCGGUGUAGCAAGUCGAUAGUGAAAUCUCUGCCUUAACGCAGAGGCUGCUAACGAAACUGCUGUGCUAGAGUGUGAGAGAGGCGAGUGGAAUUACGGGUGUAGCGGUGAAAUGCGUAGAUAUCCGUAGGAACAUCCGAGGCGAGGGCGGCUCGCUGGAUCACAACUGACGCUGAGGGACGAAAGCUAGGGGAGCAAACAGGAUUAGAUACCCUGGUAGUCCUAGCCCUAAACCAUCAGGACUUGGGGUUUGCCCUGUACGGGGCAAGUCCCGUAGCUAACGCGUUAAGUCCUGCGCCUGGGGAGUACGGUCGCAAGGCUGAAACUCAAAGGAAUUGACGGGGGCCCGCACAAGCGGUGGAACAUGUGGUUCAAUUCGACGCAACGCGAAGAACCUUACCUGGGCUUGAACCGCACAGGACCAGCUCCAGAAAUGGGGCCUUCCCGCAAGGGACCUGUGUAGAGGUGCUGCAUGGCUGUCGUCAGCUCGUGCCGUGAGGUGUUGGGUUAAGUCCCGCAACGAGCGCAACCCUUACUCAUAGUUGCUACCCGCAAGGGAGAACUCUAUGAGGACUGCUCCGGAUAACGGAGAGGAAGGUGGGGAUGAGGUCAAGUCAGCAUGGCCUUUAUGUCCAGGGCUACACACGUGUUACAAUGCGCGCCACAAAGCGUUGCAAACCCGCGAGGGGGAGCUAAUCGCAAAAAAGCGCGCUCAGUUCGGAUUGCAGUCUGCAACUCGACUGCAUGAAGCCGGAAUCGCUAGUAAUGGCGCAUCAGAACGGCGCCGUGAAUACGUUCCCGGGCCUUGUACACACCGCCCGUCACAUCACGAAAGUGGGCUGUACUAGAAGUCGCCAAGCCAACCGCAAGGGGGCAGGCGCCCAAGGUAUGAUU
RNAcentral lists this ribosomal RNA (1435 nucleotides) under uncultured bacterium. RNAcentral's name for it is "16S ribosomal RNA". It matches the Rfam family "Bacterial small subunit ribosomal RNA". The record is from RNAcentral.